This 992-nucleotide long non-coding RNA is filed under the name Mytilus galloprovincialis (Mediterranean mussel). The record is from RNAcentral. Lineage: Eukaryota; Metazoa; Mollusca; Bivalvia; Mytilida; Mytilidae.
GUUUUAAGUGAAUACUAAUAUAGGUUUAUCAGAAAGAGUAACUAAGAAACAAAUGGGAAGAACUGAAAUGUUGUCGAUGGACAUAAAUUACACGUGAUUAUCAAUUGCAUCAUUUUCUGUGUAGAAAUUGCAUGUAUUUAUUAGUAGUGAAAAUAAAUGGCUGUUAAAUAUCCCAGUUCAUUAUCAAAUUUUCAAAAGAUACCGGGAAUCGUGAUUUUGUUCUUAACAACUCGUAAUCUCACAGACUAACCCUUCCCUUCUAAAUGCAGAUCUUCAGGUGCAAGGUAAAUAAUAUUUUACAAAACUUAUUGAAAAUGAGCUUUUUACUUUGUUAGCCUGACACAAAAAUUUAUUCUAAAUGUUGUAUAUAUAAAACAGGAGAUGUGGUAUUAUUGCCAAUGAGACAACUCUCCACUAAGACAAAAUGACACUGAAAUUGACAACUUUGUGUCACCGUACGCUUUCAACAUUGAGCAAAUCAUAUACCGCAUAGUCAGCUAUAAAAGAUCCCGAAAUAACAAAUGUAAAACAAUUCAAAAGAGAAAAUUUAACUAACGGCUCAAUGUAUGUACAAAAUAAUGAACGAAAAAAAAUGUAACACAGCAACAAACAACAGCAACUGAAUUGGCUUGGGACAGUCACAUACCAAAUGAGGCGGGAUUGAGCUAGUUUUUCGGCGCCAAACACUCCCCCAACCUUGUACUGUGAUGUAAAGAUAAAACAUAAGAAAAUUCUAUGCAAAACAAUAAGCGAAAAACAAAUAUGAGAAACAGCAGCAAAGGCCACAACUCUAUUAUAUGCCCCUGACUUGGGACAUGCACUUACAGAAUGGGGUGGGGUUAAACUAUUUUGAAGGCGCUCAUAUCAACCCCUAACAUGGGACUGUGGUGUAACAGUAAAACAUACGAACAAAUUAUGGAAAUCAGUUGAAAAAGGUUUAACGCAUCACAUGGAUACAAAUAUAAACUAAUCUAAUAAAACACAGAGUGGGC